This 1390-nucleotide ribosomal RNA is filed under the name Lithobates warszewitschii. RNAcentral describes it as "partial 16S ribosomal RNA". It matches the Rfam family "Bacterial large subunit ribosomal RNA", at positions 267 to 2586 of the family's 2925-position model. The record is from RNAcentral. Lineage: Eukaryota; Metazoa; Chordata; Amphibia; Anura; Ranidae.
GCCUAAAAUCUAGCCGUAUAUUCACACGAACCCCCCCCCCCAAAAAAAUAAAACAUUUUCUCAUUAUAGUACAGGUGAUCGAAAAACUUCUAAGCGCUUCAGAAACAGUACCGCAAGGGAAAAAUGAAAUAUAAUUGAAAUAACCUUUAAGCCCUAAAUAGCAGAGACACCCCCUCGUACCUUUUGCAUCAUGGUCUAGUUAGUCUACUCAAGCAAAAUGAAAUUUUUAGUUAGAAACCCCGAAACUAAGCGAGCUACUUCAAAACAGCCCGAAGAGCUAACCCGUCUCUGUUGCAAAAGAGUGGGAAGAUUUUUAAGUAGAGGUGAAAAGCCUACCGAGCUUAGAGACAGCUGGUUGUUCAGGAAAAGAGUUUUAGCUCUACCUUAAGUUUACUCACGAUUUAAAACUAACCUUAAAACUUAAGAGCUAUUCAAAUAAGGUACAGCUUAUUUGAAACAGGAUACAACCUAUAAUAAUGGGUAAAUAAUAGUGCUUAGAAUAAAGUUGGCUUAAAAGCAGCCAUCUAAGAAAGCGUUAAAGCUCGACUCUGCCACUAGUAAUUCCUAAAACCUUAAUUAACCCUUUAUUUUUACUGAACCAUUUUAUAAUUUUAUAAAAAUGAUAAUGCUAGAACUAGUAACAAGAAAUUGAUUUCUCCUAAAUAUAAGCAUAAACCAAAAAGGACUAUCCAUUGGUAAUUAACGUGCAUGAAAAAAUUAUAUUAACCCCCCCCCCCCCGAAAAAUUUAUAACCCCUAACGUUAACCUUACAUUAGAAUAUUACAGGAAAGAUUUAAAGAAAAAGAAGGAACUCGGCAAAUUUUAGUCUCGCCUGUUUACCAAAAACAUCGCCUCUUGCCUGAAUAUAAGAGGUCCAGCCUGCCCAGUGACAUAGUUUAACGGCCGCGGUAACCUAACCGUGCAAAGGUAGCAUAAUCACUUGUUCUCUAAAUAGGGACUUGUAUCAACGGCACCACGAAGAUUAUACUGUCUCCUUUUUCUAAUCAGUGAAACUGAUCUCCCCGUGAAGAAGCGGGGAUUUUAAUAUUAGACGAGAAGACCCCAUGGAGCUUAAAACUCGUCACUCACCUCUUUACCACACAUCUACAAAGUUAAGAGUUCUUGCGUGUCAGUUUUUGGUUGGGGAGACCUCGGAGUAUAAUAAAACCUCCGUAAUAAAUGGACUAGCACCCUUAUCCACGAGAAACGGCUCUAAGAACUAAUAUAUUAAUAUUUAUGACCCAACAAUUUGAUAAAUGAACCAAGUUACCCUGGGGAUAACAGCGCAAUCUACUUUUAGAGCCCCUAUCGACAAGUAGGUUUACGACCUCGAUGUUGGAUCAGGGUCUCCUAGUGGUGCAACCGCUACUGAUGGUUCGUUUGUUCAACG